Molecule: ribosomal RNA, 498 nt
Filed under: uncultured bacterium
Lineage: Bacteria
Description: partial 16S ribosomal RNA
Rfam family: Bacterial small subunit ribosomal RNA
Source: RNAcentral
AUUGAACGCUGGCGGCAUGCCUUACACAUGCAAGUCGAACGGUAACAGGUCUUCGGAUGCUGACGAGUGGCGAACGGGUGAGUAAUACAUCGGAACGUGCCUAGUAGUGGGGGAUAACUACUCGAAAGAGUGGCUAAUACCGCCUGAGAUCUACGGAUGAAAGCAGGGGAUCGCAAAACCUUGUGCUACUAGAGCGGCGGAUGGCAGAUUAGGUAGUUGGUGGGAUAAAAGCUUACCAAGCCUACGAUCUGUAGCUGGUCUGAGAGGACGAUCAGCCACACUGGGACUGAGACACGGCCCAGACCCCUACGGGAGGCAGCAGUGGGGAAUUUUGGACAAUGGGCGCAAGCCUGAUCCAGCAAUGCCGCGUGCAGGAUGAAGGCCUUCGGGUUGUAAACUGCUUUUGUACGGAACGAAAAGCCCCGGGUUAAUACCCUGGGGUCAUGACGGUACCGUAAGAAUAAGCACCGGCUAACUACGUGCCAGCCGCCGCCGUAA